RNAcentral lists this ribosomal RNA (81 nucleotides) under Phyllactinia guttata. Its description in RNAcentral is "partial 28S ribosomal RNA". It matches the Rfam family "Eukaryotic large subunit ribosomal RNA", at positions 1 to 80 of the family's 3401-position model. RNAcentral also lists the same sequence under 3 other names. The record is from RNAcentral. Lineage: Eukaryota; Fungi; Ascomycota; Leotiomycetes; Helotiales; Erysiphaceae.
UUGACCUCGAAUCAGGUAGGGAUACCCGCUGAACUUAAGCAUAUCAAUAAGCGGAGGAAAAGAAACCAACCGGGAUUACCC